This 448-nucleotide ribosomal RNA is filed under the name Massilia kyonggiensis. RNAcentral's name for it is "bacterial SSU rRNA". It matches the Rfam family "Bacterial small subunit ribosomal RNA", at positions 1 to 453 of the family's 1533-position model. Lineage: Bacteria; Pseudomonadati; Pseudomonadota; Betaproteobacteria; Burkholderiales; Oxalobacteraceae. The record is from RNAcentral.
AAACUGAAGAGUUUGAUCCUGGCUCAGAUUGAACGCUGGCGGCAUGCUUUACACAUGCAAGUCGAACGGCAGCGCGGGGCAACCUGGCGGCGAGUGGCGAACGGGUGAGUAAUACAUCGGAACGUACCCAGAAGUGGGGGAUAACGUAGCGAAAGUUACGCUAAUACCGCAUACGUUCUACGGAAGAAAGUGGGGGACCUUCGGGCCUCAUGCUUUUGGAGCGGCCGAUGUCUGAUUAGCUAGUUGGUGAGGUAAAGGCUCACCAAGGCGACGAUCAGUAGCUGGUCUGAGAGGACGACCAGCCACACUGGGACUGAGACACGGCCCAGACUCCUACGGGAGGCAGCAGUGGGGAAUUUUGGACAAUGGGCGCAAGCCUGAUCCAGCAAUGCCGCGUGAGUGAAGAAGGCCUUCGGGUUGUAAAGCUCUUUUGUCAGGGAAGAAACGG